AUUGAACACUGGCGGAAUGCUUUACACAUGCAAGUCGAACGGUAACAGGGUGCUUGCACCGCUGACGAGUGGCGAACGGGUGAGUAAUGCGUCGGAACGUGCCGAGUAGUGGGGGAUAACGCAGCGAAAGUUGUGCUAAUACCGCAUACGUACUGAGGUAGAAAGUGGGGGACCUUCGGGCCUCACGCUAUUCGAGCGGCCGACGUCUGAUUAGCUAGUAGGUGAGGUAAAGGCUCACCUAGGCGACGAUCAGUAGCGGGUCUGAGAGGAUGAUCCGCCACACUGGGACUGAGACACGGCCCAGACUCCUACGGGAGGCAGCAGUGGGGAAUUUUGGACAAUGGGCGAAAGCCUGAUCCAGCCAUGCCGCGUGUCUGAAGAAGGCCUUCGGGUUGUAAAGGACUUUUGUCAGGGAGGAAAUCCCUAGUGCUAAUAACACUGGGGGAUGACAGUACCUGAAGAAUAAGCACCGGCUAACUACGUGCCAGCCGCCGCCGUAA
This 500-nucleotide ribosomal RNA is filed under the name uncultured bacterium. Its description in RNAcentral is "partial 16S ribosomal RNA". It matches the Rfam family "Bacterial small subunit ribosomal RNA", at positions 30 to 523 of the family's 1533-position model. The record is from RNAcentral.